UACGUAGGGGGCAAGCGUUGUCCGGAAUCAUUGGGCGUAAAGCGCGUGUAGGCGGCUUGGUCAGUCUGCUGUGAAAGUCCAGGGCUCAACCCUGGGAUGUCAGUGGAUACUGCCAAGCUCGAGUCCGGAAGAGGAGUGUGGAAUUCCUGGUGUAGCGGUGAAAUGCGCAGAUAUCAGGAGGAACACCGGUGGCGAAGGCGCACAUCUGGCCCGAUACUGACGCUGAGGCGCGAAAGCUAGGGGAGCAAAC
RNAcentral lists this ribosomal RNA (250 nucleotides) under uncultured bacterium. RNAcentral's name for it is "partial 16S ribosomal RNA". It matches the Rfam family "Bacterial small subunit ribosomal RNA", at positions 524 to 773 of the family's 1533-position model. The record is from RNAcentral.